This 297-nucleotide ribosomal RNA is filed under the name uncultured bacterium. RNAcentral's name for it is "partial 16S ribosomal RNA". It matches the Rfam family "Bacterial small subunit ribosomal RNA", at positions 333 to 647 of the family's 1533-position model. The record is from RNAcentral.
CUACGCCUACGGGGCGCAGCAGUGGGGAAUAUUGCACAAUGGGGGAAACCCUGAUGCAGCGACGCCGCGUGAGCGAAGAAGUACCUCGGUAUGUAAAGCUCUAUCAGCAGGGAAGAAGAUGACGGUACCUGACCAAGAAGCUCCGGCUAAAUACGUGCCAGCAGCCGCGGUAAUACGUAGGGGGCAAGCGUUAUCCGGCUUUACUGGGUGUAAAGGGAGCGCAGACGGCAGUGCAAGUCUGGAGUGAAAGCCCGGGGCCCAACCCCGGAACUGCUCUGGAAACUGCGCGGCUAGAGU